This 608-nucleotide ribosomal RNA is filed under the name uncultured bacterium. RNAcentral describes it as "bacterial SSU rRNA". It matches the Rfam family "Bacterial small subunit ribosomal RNA", at positions 338 to 950 of the family's 1533-position model. The record is from RNAcentral.
CCUACGGGAGGCAGCAGUGAGGAAUAUUGGACAAUGGGCGCAAGCCUGAUCCAGCCAUGCCGCGUGCAGGAAGAAGCAUCUAUGGUGUGUAAACUGCUUUUGUACAGGAAGAAACACUCCCUCGUGAGGGAGCUUGACGGUACUGUAAGAAUAAGGACCGGCUAACUCCGUGCCAGCAGCCGCGGUAAUACGGAGGGUCCGAGCGUUAUCCGGAAUCAUUGGGUUUAAAGGGUCCGUAGGCGGUUUAAUAAGUCAGUGGUGAAAUCUGGUCGCUCAACGAUCAAACGGCCAUUGAUACUGUUAGACUUGAAUUAUAAGGAAGUAACUAGAAUAUGUAGUGUAGCGGUGAAAUGCUUAGAUAUUACAUGGAAUACCAAUUGCGAAGGCAGGUUACUACUUAUGGAUUGACGCUGAUGGACGAAAGCGUGGGGAGCGAACAGGAUUAGAUACCCUGGUAGUCCACGCCGUAAACGAUGGAUACUAGCUGUUCGGAGCAAUCUGAGUGGCUAAGCGAAAGUGAUAAGUAUCCCACCUGGGGAGUACGUUCGCAAGAAUGAAACUCAAAUGAAUUGACCGGNNGAGAGAGCGAGACGACGACGAGGGAGAGG